AUGGAGAGGAAACUGGGAGCUGUGCUGGGGAUUCUGUGCAUGUGGAUUUGCUGGGUGAGAGGAGUUGAGGUGGAGCAGAGUCCUUCAGCCCUAAGUCUCCAAGAAGGAACAAGUUAUGUUCUCACAUGCAACUUUUCUACAAGCAUGAGAAGUGUGCAGUGGUUCCAGCAGAAUUCCAGGGGCAGCCUCAUCAGCCUUUUCAACCUGACUCCAGGAACAAAGCAGAAUGGGAGGCUAAACUCAACCUUCAACUCUAAGGAGCGCAAGAGCACCCUUCACAUCAGAGAUGCCCAGCUGGAGGACUCUGGCACCUACUUCUGUGCAGCAGAGGCACAGGAUUCUGCAAAGAUGUCAGUGGUGAAGGGGGAAUGA
This is a non-coding RNA of Microtus ochrogaster (prairie vole), 372 nucleotides long. The record is from the annotation of a RefSeq genome assembly. Lineage: Eukaryota; Metazoa; Chordata; Mammalia; Rodentia; Cricetidae.